GGGAAAGGGGGUGGGGACGGAGGCAGAGCAUGUGUGGGCAAAGUCACGAAGGGGGAGAGUGACCGAGGGCCACCACGGCCACCACAGCUCCUCCAGCCUGCUGGUGCCCCACUGCGUCCGGCUGCCACUCAUUCUGCGCCACCAGCAUCUUCUGGACGAGGAGCCAGGCUCUCCGCCCGCCACCCUUGAUUGGAGAAAAGAGGCCCUGAUGUCAUCCCCAGCAUCAGCCAUCUGCCUGCCACCAGCACGGGAGGCGUCUCAGCAGCCCCCUCCCAGGGGCCUUCUUUCUCGGCUUACGGAAUGGAGGGAAAAGCGUGAACAUCGAGAAACAGCAGACAAGCGACCCCCAGGCCUAGCGAAGGUGAGCUGUGUGUGUGUGUGCGUGUGUGCGCCCUUCUCUCCGCUGGACCUGUUGGCAUCUUUCUCUUCCUCUCCACUGGGCUCCACGUAGAUUCAGCUGUUUCAGCCGAAGAGAAGGCUCAUGUAGUUGGGGUUCCAAGUGUGAUUUAGAAGAACCAAUAGCAGAGAAGAAAAGAAAGCUCACAGACAAAUGCUUUUCAUUAUCACGAGACUAGAAACUCGUGAUUAGGUUACUGGCUGAGGGCUGAGCAAAGGUCCCCAUCUCGUGUCCCACAGGAGUUGUCUUCACUGAUUGGGAGCGCCAGCCUCGAAGCCAGAUACAUUGGCACAAUUGUCGAGAUCACGUCUGGAUGACCUGAGCCGUAUUCGAGCUUCUUUGGCAUUUAAUGAACAAAAUUUCCUCCAAAGGCUUACAGUCCGAGAUUAGGAAAGCUAGCACUGAACUCUGUUUAGCUGAUUUACAGGCUGUCAGUUAAGGGGGCAGGCCCCCAAAUUCUCCCAAACUCAGAAAAGUGUCAAAGACCCACACCUGCAAUAUGCCCUCAUGCAAACUAGAAAGGCACACUGGUACGUCUCAUCUGUCAAAUGAGGGCAUUUGACAGAUGGUCUUCCUAGCGACUCACUCUGACUGUAAAAUUCCACGAAUGGACAUAUCUAGAAAUCUAGGGACCAGAUCACAUCAUCCCAAGGGGACAACUAUACCGGAAACACACACUUACUAAUGGCUCUGAAGCAUUAAACGAAGCCUGUCCUAUGGCUCAUACAGUCUGGCUUUGAAUCCGAUUCUUUACGCAAAGAACCCAACUGUAAGUCAAUGUUCUGAGGCUGUCAGAAAGACUGACCUGUCUCUCUCCCUAAUUCCAUCUCUCUUCCUGAGCCAUCCUUGGCUAAGCGGUAUUUCCCAGGUGUGCUGGACCCCAGCAGCUCCCUGGUGCACCUGUAGUUCCAGGCCUUUCCCCAAAACUCUGAUGGCGUUGGUCUGUGUUAGGGCCCAGAAAUCCAUAUUGCUAUCAAGCUGCUUUGAGAGUUCCUGAUUCUGAUGAUUAGACAAACACGGAAAAUCUUGAAUCAACGAUCCUGCCGGCGACCACAGCUGCCCCUUCCCUCCGGGGACAUGAAAUCAAAGGAUGACUCACGAUCACGGCGGGCGACCCUUCCUGGAGCACCGACGGAACGAGUCCCAACAGAACGAGUCCGGGUUAUCUGUGAAGUGUCCACACCAGGGACGCGGGGUUUGAGAACUCGACACUGUGCCGUGGUUUUCUUAGUCCUUCCGUUCCUCUGCCUUCCUGGUCCUGCUGCUUUCUCCUGGUUUCAUUUCUCUUACCUCAUAUCCUCUCACUGGAGAUUCGGUUGGGUUUUUUGGCGGGAUUUUUUUGUUUUGUGUUUUCUUUUUUCUUUUUACAGCUGCACCUGCAGCAUGUGGAAUUUCCUGGGUUAGGGGUCAAAUUGGAGCUGCAGCUGCCAGCUUACACUAUAGGCACAGCAACACUGGAUCUGAGCCACAUAUGUGACCUGCACCACAGCUCAUGGCAAAGCCAGAUCCUUAACUCAUUGAGCGAGGCCAGGGAUCGAACUCAGAUCUUCACGGAGACUUAUGGCAGGUUCUUAAUCCAUUUAGUCAUGAUGAAAACUCCUCAGUUGGGUUUUACGUUAGCUUUCCAGCUAUUUCUACGGCUUUUCAAAAUUAUUUCAUUCCUUUAAAAAUGUGUUUCUGUGUGGCCCCGCCCGUGGCAUGUGGAGGUUCCCCACCCGGGAUCACACCUGAGCCGUAGUCGAGACGAUGGUGGAUCUUUAACUGCUAGGCCCCGAGGGGACACCUACGGUUUUUAUAAAAAUAAUGCCUUCCCGUCUUCUGCAUUUCAAGUGACAUAAUUUACAUCAUUAUUUUUGGAUUUUUAAAAUAUUGUCUCAAUUCACCCUCUUGAUACCACCCUUUAUGAUACUGUGCUAAAUCAUGUCCGUUUUUUUUUAACCAGUCUUAGCCUGGGGGUCUGGCUCUCCAACAGAUGUCUUUGCCAUCCAGCUGUGUUAGCGCUGUCUUGUCAACUAAUCUUGUCAACUAAUUUACACCGGAAGCACAAGGCAGAUAAAUUAAAGUAUCUUUAGUUUACCUAGACUACUUCGACAUGCAUCCAAAAGCAUAAUAAGCAUAAACUAUGGAGAAUAAGUGCCAGAUUUUCUAGACACCAGGAGCAAUACCUUGGAGUUCCUGCCAUGGCGCAGUGGGUUAAGAACCUGACUGUGUUGGCUCAGGUUGCCGUGGAGGUGAGGGUUUGACCCCCGGCCUGGUGCAGUGGGUUAAAGGAUCCAGCCUUGCCACAGCUGCUGUGGAGGUCUUAGCUGUGGCUCGGAUUCAGUCCCUGGCCUGGGACCUUCCAGGUGCUGUGGGUGCGGCCAUAAGAACGGACCAAAUAACGAACGAACCAUUUCUUUCAGAACACGAUGACCCAUAAAUCAGCCGAGAGGGAUUCUCGAAGUAAAACCUAUCUCAGUCGCUUACAUCGGAUGUACUCCAGUGCCAUUGCUAACAUGGAGUUCUCCAGGAGACUGCUGGAGAGAAGCGGCCAGUUUACAGACGCGGACUCGGAGAGCAGAACCCGAGGGCUGUUUAACAGGCAAAACGUAACAUUUGCUUCUGAACGCUGGACCACGUGUUCCCCAGUGGACACAGGCAGCGUGGAGAGCAGCCCCAGGAGAGGAUGGGGCGCCCCCGGCCGGCGGGUCUGGGGCCUCGGCCAGGAGUCCAGCCUCCCCUCAGCUUCCUGAGAUGCGACAGCCUGGCCAGUGGGACAAAAGAUUCCAAUCAAAGGACAAGAGGACACCACACAGCCCUGGGCGGCAUGAGGCUAAGACAGCAAGUCGAUAUUGGACUAACUACGUGGAUUAAGAAUGAGACUACAGUAUCCUAUUUAGAUGAAAAGAAUGAAGAAAUGUUGAAACUCCCAAAGAAAUAAUUAAAUGGCAGAUUUCUGCUUCUUUAAUUCAAAAUUAUGAAAACAAUGAUGACCCAGCAAGUAUAUAAUAAUAUAUUUAUUAGAAAUGUGAGAUUUUCAUGCAGAAACCCAGAACCAUGAAUGAGAACCAGUAGAAAUAAGAGUCAGCAGAAUUAUGUUCACAAAAAAUCAAGAUAAUGGAAGUUAGCAGAUGUAGAAAUACAAUAAUAAGAUUAAUAUGGUCAAAUAAACUUUACAAAGAAAUUUUAAAUUACUAAUAAAGAGUAUACUAUGAAAAUGGAUGAAACGUUUGAAAGAACUGCAAUUUUUAGAGUGGAAAACAUAGUAAGUAAAAGUAUUUAACAAGUGGGUUAAAGAGUAGAUUAGGCAUACGUGAAGAUAGAAUUAGUGAACUAUGUAGAUCAAGGGGAAUUAUCCAGAAUCUAGCACAGAGAAACAGAGUGAUGGAAUACAUAACAAAGAAAUAAAGAGCUAUAGAGGGUAGAGUAAGAAAGUGCAACAUUCAUUUAAACACAGUUCCAGGAAGAGUAAUCAAGAGAACGAAGAAGAAGCAGUAUUAGAAGAGAAAAUUCUAAAAUGCCAGAACUGAUGAAAGACACCAAUCCUCAGAUUUAGGGAUCUCAAAAAACCACAAGAGCAAUAGAAUAAAAAAACAAAACAAAACAAAAACAAAAAAACUAAACACCAAAUGUAAGGUGAAGUCCUUUAAAGAAGCCAGAGAGAAAAGACAAGUCACCUACAAAAGAAAAGCAAUUUGAAACCCAGAUGACAUUUCUAUAGAAACAGUCAGCAAAUCCUAGGAAAGCUAUUUUAGUAAAAAGAAAUACAAAAUGCAAAUAGUCCUACAAUUAUUAAAUGAAUUGAAUCCAUAAUUUAAAAACCUUCCCACAAAGAAAAUAAGAAAAACUCUAGGCCCAUAUGGUUUCACUGGUGAAUUUCAAACAAAUAGUUAGGGAAAAAGUAAUGUCAUCUUUUCUAAGUAAAUUCUUCCAGAAAUGGAAAAAGAGGGCAUAUCUCCUGUUUCUUUUUGUAAUGCCUGCAUAAUCUAAAAGGAAAAAACAGGCUGAUCUCACUCAGGAAUGUAGUUGCAAAAUUUUAAAACAAAAUAUUAACAAACUGAACUCUAAUAUUUUGUUCAUUUUAGUAAUUUCUGCUCAUAAUGAAAAUAUAGCAAAUUCCAAAUAAAAAGGAAAAAUUUAAAUCUGGCAAUGUGUUUUUAAAAAUAUUUGUAAGUAAACAAUGUACUGGGAUUCCCUUCGUGUCUCAGCAGUUAACGAACCUGACUAGCAUCCACUUGUAUGCGUGUUUGAUCCCUGGCCUCUCUCAUUGGGUUAAGUAUGCAGCGUCGCAGUGAGCUGUGAUGUAGGUCACAGAUGAGGCUCGGAUUUGGCUUUGCUGUGGCUGUGGUGUAGGCCAGCGGCUGUAGCUCUGAUUCGACCCCUGGCCUGGGAACCUCCAUAUGCCACGGGGGUGGCCUUAAAAAAAAAAAAAAAUAUAUAUAUAUAUAUAUAUAUAUAUAUAUAUAUAUAUAUACACACAGACACACACUUAAUGUUGAAAUACUGAAAUCUUUCCUUUUAAACAAUAGAAAAAGCUGCCUAUUUUUUCCUAUUUCUAUUGAAGCUUGGACUGGAAGUUUGAGAAGUAUAAUAAUAAGCUAUAAAAAGAAAUAAAAUCCGUAAAGCUUGUAAAAGAUAGAAAACUGUCUUUUUUUUUAAAUAGAAAAGUCCCAACACAGAAAAAGCAAGUGAAUAAUUAUAAAUUUCUGGAAAAUGCUUACUUUUAAG
Molecule: long non-coding RNA, 5104 nt
Filed under: Sus scrofa (pig)
Lineage: Eukaryota; Metazoa; Chordata; Mammalia; Artiodactyla; Suidae
Source: RNAcentral